This 186-nucleotide ribosomal RNA is filed under the name Escherichia coli P0304816.10. Its description in RNAcentral is "partial 16S ribosomal RNA". It matches the Rfam family "Bacterial large subunit ribosomal RNA", at positions 2758 to 2925 of the family's 2925-position model. Lineage: Bacteria; Pseudomonadati; Pseudomonadota; Gammaproteobacteria; Enterobacterales; Enterobacteriaceae. The record is from RNAcentral.
GAAGAGAUAAGUGCUGAAAGCAUCUAAGCACGAAACUUGCCCCGAGAUGAGUUCUCCCUGACUCCUUGAGAGUCCUGAAGGAACGUUGAAGACGACGACGUUGAUAGGCCGGGUGUGUAAGCGCAGCGAUGCGUUGAGCUAACCGGUACUAAUGAACCGUGAGGCUUAACCUUACAACGCCGAAGG